UACAGAGGUCUCAAGCGUUGUUCGGAUUCAUUGGGCGUAAAGGGUGCGUAGGUGGCGCCGUAAGUCGGGUGUGAAAUUUCGGAGCUUAACUCCGAAACUGCAUUCGAUACUGCGGUGCUUGAGGACUGGAGAGGAGACUGGAAUUCAUGGUGUAGCAGUGAAAUGCGUAGAGAUCAUGAGGAAGACCAGUGGCGAAGGCGGCAUCCUGGACCGGUAUUGACGCUGAGGCGCGAAAGCCAGGGGAGCAAACGGG
Molecule: ribosomal RNA, 253 nt
Filed under: uncultured bacterium
Lineage: Bacteria
Description: partial 16S ribosomal RNA
Rfam family: Bacterial small subunit ribosomal RNA
Source: RNAcentral